UCUCGAUUGGUCUAGUGGCAAGGAUACCUGCUUGUCAUCGAAUUCGCAGGUGGCCGGGGUUCGAUUCCCCGAUCGAGAG
Molecule: non-coding RNA, 79 nt
Organism: Xylaria intraflava
Lineage: Eukaryota; Fungi; Ascomycota; Sordariomycetes; Xylariales; Xylariaceae
Source: the annotation of a GenBank genome assembly